This 484-nucleotide ribosomal RNA is filed under the name uncultured bacterium. RNAcentral's name for it is "partial 16S ribosomal RNA". It matches the Rfam family "Bacterial small subunit ribosomal RNA", at positions 29 to 523 of the family's 1533-position model. The record is from RNAcentral.
AGUGAACGCGGGCGGCGUGCUUAACACAUACAAGUCGAACGAGAACGGGAUAUAGCUUGCUAUAUUUGUCAGCUAAGUGGCGCACGGGUGAGUAAGGUAUAGGUAAUAUGCCUCUUAUUAAGGGAUAACAAUUAGAAACGAUUGCUAAUACCUUAUAUGCCUUUAAGACUAAAGUCUGCAAGGUAAAGAUUUAUUGGUAAGAGAUUAGCCUGUAUUGUAUCAGCUAGUUGGUGAGGUAAUGGCUCACCAAGGCUAUGACGCAUAACUGGUUUGAGAGGAUGACCAGUCACACUGGAACUGAGACACGGUCCAGACUCCUACGGGAGGCAGCAGUGGGGAAUAUUGCACAAUGGACGAAAGUCUGAUGCAGCAACGCCGCGUGGAGGAUGACACAUUUCGGUGCGUAAACACCUUUUAUAUAGGAAGAUAAUGACGGUACUAUAUGAAUAAGCACCGGCUAACUCCGUGCCAGCAGCCGCGGUAA